UUUUGCCUACGGGACGCAGCAGUGGGGAAUAUUGGGCAAUGGGCGCAAGCCUGACCCAGCAACGCCGCGUGACGGAAGAAGGCCCUCGGGUUGUAAACUUCCUUUAUCAAGGACGAAACAAAUGACGGUACUUGGUGAAUAAGCCACGGCUAACUACGUGCCAGCAGCCGCGGUAAUACGUAGGUGGCAAGCGUUAUCCGGAUUUACUGGGUGUAAAGGGCGUGUAGGCGGG
RNAcentral lists this ribosomal RNA (232 nucleotides) under uncultured bacterium. Its description in RNAcentral is "partial 16S ribosomal RNA". It matches the Rfam family "Bacterial small subunit ribosomal RNA", at positions 333 to 579 of the family's 1533-position model. The record is from RNAcentral.